Molecule: ribosomal RNA, 492 nt
Filed under: uncultured bacterium
Lineage: Bacteria
Description: partial 16S ribosomal RNA
Rfam family: Bacterial small subunit ribosomal RNA
Source: RNAcentral
AGUGAACGCUGGCGGUAGGCCUAACACAUGCAAGUCGAACGGCAGCACAGUAAGAGCUUGCUCUUACGGGUGGCGAGUGGCGGACGGGUGAGGAGUACAUCGGAAUCUACUUUUUCGUGGGGGAUAACGUAGGGAAACUUACGCUAAUACCGCAUACGACCUACGGGUGAAAGCAGGGGAUCUUCGGACCUUGCGCGAUUGAAUGAGCCGAUGUCGGAUUAGCUAGUUGGCGGGGUAAAGGCCCACCAAGGCGACGAUCCGUAGCUGGUCUGAGAGGAUGAUCAGCCACACUGGAACUGAGACACGGUCCAGACUCCUACGGGAGGCAGCAGUGGGGAAUAUUGGACAAUGGGCGCAAGCCUGAUCCAGCCAUACCGCGUGGGUGAAGAAGGCCUUCGGGUUGUAAAGCCCUCUUGUUGGGAAAGAAAAGCAGCAGGUUAAUACCCCGCUGUUCUGACGGUACCCAAAGAAUAAGCACCGGCUAACUUCGUG